Molecule: long non-coding RNA, 591 nt
Organism: Lemur catta (Ring-tailed lemur)
Lineage: Eukaryota; Metazoa; Chordata; Mammalia; Primates; Lemuridae
Exons: 4
Source: RefSeq, a predicted model, not a curated record
GCCCAGCCGUGGCAGGUGGCAGAGACAACAGCGGCGGCAGCUGCCGGGAGAACCGGAAGUUCGUACAUCUCAGCAGCCUCUGCUGCUACGGACGCUUUCGGUUGCCAACAUGUAGGGGCGGGGCGCGCUCAGUGGCGUCAGCAGCCCAGGGCUUAUGCGCAUGCGUGCUGGAGGAAUGCGUGAGGACGUGAGCUCUGUGGAGGCUGGUGAGGAGUUGUCUAUGAAGGGUAACAGGAAUGUCUUUCUCAAGGACAUGGAAACCAUCUGUUUGAAAUGUGAUCACCAAGGAAUAUACUACUCCUAUUACCCAGUUUCUGUGGGAAGUUCUCCAGGCUGAAUCUUCCUAGAGCAAGUGCCAAGACAGCCUUUGUCAGAGAAAUCACAGAUUGUCUCAGCCUCCUGUUCACUCUAGGUCCUUCCAGCCACGGAACCAUCCCAGAAUCACCUUGUCUUCAUCUUUUGUCUCAUUUCCAUUUAAUCUUCAAGAUUCAACCUGGAAAUCUGGAGAAAUAUUUAGGAGGUUGCUGAAGACUCAGGUAUUUUGUUAAUGAAAAAGAACUCCAUUAUGGACAUAAGGACAUAAAGAUCUCA